Molecule: long non-coding RNA, 205 nt
Organism: Centruroides sculpturatus (bark scorpion)
Lineage: Eukaryota; Metazoa; Arthropoda; Arachnida; Scorpiones; Buthidae
Exons: 2
Source: RefSeq, a predicted model, not a curated record
CACUCCGAACGUCGACUUUCACUCAAGGAUUUAGAAAUGGUUUCAAGAUAUUAUCUGGUUGCUUUGGUGGUUGUUUUUCUCUUGACAAUUGAUCAAAUGAAUGGACAAAUCACCUUCUCCAGGAACUGGAAAACGGGGAAGAGAGCGGAUGAUUGCAGCAGAUUGGGAUCGGAAUUUCAAGUGAAAUUAUUCAGAAUUAUCCAGG